ACCUACGGGGGGCAGCAGUAGGGAAUUUUCGUCAAUGGGCGCAAGCCUGAACGAGCAAUGCCGCGUGAACGAGGAAGGUCUUCGGAUCGUAAAGUUCUGUUGAAGGGGAAAAAGAGCGGAGAGAGGAAAUGCUUUCUGAUUGAUAUUACCCUUCGAGGAAGUCACGGCUAACUACGUGCCAGCAGCCGCGGUAAUACGUAGGUGGCGAGCGUUAUCCGGAAUGAUUGGGCGUAAAGGGUGCGUAGGCGGCCUGCUAAGUCUGGAGUGAAAGGUACCGGCUCAACCGGGACAGGCUCUGGAAACUG
This 305-nucleotide ribosomal RNA is filed under the name uncultured bacterium. RNAcentral describes it as "bacterial SSU rRNA". It matches the Rfam family "Bacterial small subunit ribosomal RNA", at positions 337 to 635 of the family's 1533-position model. The record is from RNAcentral.